RNAcentral lists this long non-coding RNA (1373 nucleotides) under Triticum aestivum (bread wheat). RNAcentral's name for it is "long non-coding RNA (TAES_LNC009099)". The record is from RNAcentral. Lineage: Eukaryota; Viridiplantae; Streptophyta; Magnoliopsida; Poales; Poaceae.
UUAGUCCUCUUGGUAUUCUUCUCAGUCUUCUUGGUAUUCUUUCUAUCAGUCCUCUAUUUUCCAUCAGUUUUCUGCUUUGGAUUCAGUAAUCAAGUUCUUUAAGUCAUAUUCAGUGUGUGUUCCUCAGUAUUUUUUUUCUUUCUAUCAUUCAUCUGUUUCAGUUCUUAGUUAUCAAUCAUUAGUUAUCUUUAUUCCUUAGUCCUCUUGGUAUUCUUCUCAGUCUUCUUGGUAUUCUUUCUAUCAGUCCUCUAUUUUCCAUCAGUUUUCUGCUUCGGAUUCAGUAAUCAAGUUCUUCAAGUCAUAUUCAGUGUGUGUUCCUUAGUUUGUCAGUCAUUUCUUUUAGUUUGUCAUGUCCUUAGUUUUUUCAGUUUUAGAUUUCUGUAUUUUAGGUUCAGUGUCAUUUUAAGUCUUAUCCAGGUUUCAGUAUUUGUCCUCAGUUUUCUUCCAUAUAUGUCAUCAGGUUUCAGUAUAUAUGUCCUCGGUUUUAUCCCGAGUGUCCAAUUUUUGCCUCUUUGUUCAGUUUGUCCAUGAUUGCACAGUUUGUGUUAGUUUCUUCAGUCUAUGUUAAGUGUUUGUAUAUUCAGUGAUUGAUCGAUUAUCAGUUAUUUAUGCAGGAAGGUGAUCAUGUUUUUAUUGAGUUCUUCUCUGCCAAGUGGAACAACAGGGACACAAGCCUUAUCUAACUCUAGUACAUUUUCUUUAUGUAUAAAUGAUUCACAAGUAAGGUGAUCACAUAAAUGCAGCAUGUAUAUAUAAAUGAAAAUUUCAGGGAAGGGAGGGCAGUGUGUUGUUACCUGAGAUGAUUCCCCUUGGGGUGGCACCAUGUGGUUGUGCUCUGGAUCGUAAGCAGCAUCACCCUCACAUGCUUCCUCCGGCUCAGCCUGCAUGCUUGUUUCAUUUGAUUCAGGUGUGUGUUCUCCACUUGCAGCAACUGAACCCUGCAUUGCAUGUUUUUUCAGUUUUCAUCAGUCUCUAACUUAGGAAGUAGUUUCACAUGUGCCUCUUUUCUAAAGGAUUGGUCAUUUCGAAUGUCACAUUCUCUCAAUUUUUUCUCCUUUUUUCUUUUUGUGGCAUCUACUUACAAACACAAGGUUAAUCUGCCACUAUCACUUUUUUCACUCAUGUUCUUCUUUGCUAGCUAAUUUUUCAUCCCCCUCCCCAUGAACAUGAACUGGAAAUUCACAUUCAGUCACCCCCCUACAUUUUUCUCUAGGUAAAAUAUGAACACAGAGCACCUGUCUUCUCUGAAUUUUCAGUUUUUAUUCACAGAUUGAAAGAUUCUUCAGUAAGGAAAAGUAUGCAACUAGUGGGGUGGGUUGGGGCGAGAGGGGUGUACCUUAGUUUGGGCGAGGGCAGUCCGCGGCGGCUCCAAG